Molecule: ribosomal RNA, 422 nt
Filed under: uncultured bacterium
Lineage: Bacteria
Description: bacterial SSU rRNA
Rfam family: Bacterial small subunit ribosomal RNA
Source: RNAcentral
UCUUCCGCAAUGGACGAAAGUCCGACGGAGCAACGCCGCGUGAGUGAUGAGGGUUUUCGGAGCGUAAAGCUCUGUUGCUAGGGAAGAACAAGUGCCGUUCAAAUAGGGCGGCACCUUGACGGUACCUAACCAGUAAGCCACGGCUAACUACGGGCCAGCAGCCGCGGUAAUACGUAGGUGGCAAGCGUUGUCCGGAAUUAUUGGGCGUAAAGGGCUCGCAGGCGGUUUAUUAAGUCUGAUGUGAAAGCCCCCGGCUCAACCGGGGAGGGUCAUUGGAAACUGGGGAACUUGAGUGCAGAAGAGGAGAGUGGAAUUCCACGUGUAGCGGUGAAAUGCGUCGAGAUGUGGAGGAACACCAGUGGCGAAGGCGACUCUCUGGUCUGUAACUGACGCUGAGGAGCGAAAGCGUGGGGAGCGAACAG